GUCCCUGUAGCGCAAUGGAUAGCGUGUUGGACUUCAAAUCCAAAUGUUCGAAUCCCACCUGGAAUG
RNAcentral lists this transfer RNA (66 nucleotides) under Trichonephila inaurata madagascariensis. It matches the Rfam family "tRNA". Rfam says of the family: Transfer RNA (tRNA) molecules are approximately 80 nucleotides in length. Their secondary structure includes four short double-helical elements and three loops (D, anti-codon, and T loops). Lineage: Eukaryota; Metazoa; Arthropoda; Arachnida; Araneae; Nephilidae. The record is from Rfam by way of RNAcentral.